UCUUAAUUUCCCAUAAUAUACCUUGCCAAUUAUGCCACAACAUCGUGGAUCUUGUCCAAACCCUGAUAUUUCGCGACGAUUGUGCAAAAACUAAUUAAUUAACUAUACAAUUAUUGUAAGUCUUUGAUAAUGUUGACACCCGUUAACUUACAAAAUUUGUUAGCAUUUAUUUAUCUACCAGAAAUUAAUAUCUACUAGAAUAGCGUU
Molecule: long non-coding RNA, 207 nt
Filed under: Sorghum bicolor (sorghum)
Lineage: Eukaryota; Viridiplantae; Streptophyta; Magnoliopsida; Poales; Poaceae
Description: long non-coding RNA (SBIC_LNC001194)
Source: RNAcentral